This is a long non-coding RNA of Herpailurus yagouaroundi (jaguarundi), 364 nucleotides long. RefSeq lists it as uncharacterized. Lineage: Eukaryota; Metazoa; Chordata; Mammalia; Carnivora; Felidae. The transcript has 3 exons. The record is from RefSeq and is a predicted model, not a curated record.
AGAUGGGGUAACAAUGGCUUUUGAUGUGAGAAAGAGUCUGUUAUUCCAUUUCAAAGGUGCAGGUAAACAGAUCUUGUACAGGGGAUACAGCAGCAAACGCAUAGCGUCUGAACUCGCCCCGGAAAUGGGCAAAUGAUACUCCCCUCGACAGAGGAAAACAACCCAGGCACACAGGUGGCGUGGCAGACUCAGAAUCUCGACAGCAACUUUGAAAAUCACAACACCUGAGAAACCGCCUCUGGGGACACACCCGUUGGCUACAGGUCCAUUGAAGGACAAACUUUCAGAGAGACCACAAAAGUACGAAAAGCAGGAAAACCCAGGAAGAAACUGAGGGAGGUUAUUACAACCAAGACCUUUUCAC